This 161-nucleotide ribosomal RNA is filed under the name uncultured bacterium. Its description in RNAcentral is "partial 16S ribosomal RNA". It matches the Rfam family "Bacterial small subunit ribosomal RNA", at positions 358 to 511 of the family's 1533-position model. The record is from RNAcentral.
GGAAUCUUCCACAAUGGACGCAAGUCUGAUGGAGCAACGCCGCGUGAGUGAAGAAGGGUUUCGGCUCGUAAAACUCUGUUGUUAAAGAAGAACGUGGGUAAGAGUAACUGUUUACCCAGUGACGGUAUUUAACCAGAAAGCCACGGCUAACUACGUGCCAG